UCAGAACUCUCACGUUCUCCAAUAGCUGGGUAAAAUAACUUGCCACAACCUACUUUAUAGUAAAGUGUCAAACAUCUCGUGUAAUUUAUUACUGUUUUGAAAGUGAAAACAGGAUGGUUAUAUGACUUCCCAAACUGCAGAUUCUACUUGACAAUAUGCUUUUGCACCCUUUAAACACUAAAAUUUUAAGUCAAAUAAUCCCAAGUUGGAUGUGAUAUAUAUGUUCAUACACGAUAUCAUGUGUAAUUUUAUUUUUCUUUACCUCAUUUUCAUAAUCCAAGGAAUUAUCAAGAUGGUUUUAAAGGUUCAAAUGUGGAUUUCAACCCCAUACCCACCCCAGGGAGUGAAUUCUCUGGGGUCUAUAUGUGGCCAAUGCUCUCAGAGCCACUGGAGGUUGUGGGACUGGAGGUGGAUGUGCCCACUGCCUGCUUCCACGGGGUUAGGGUAUGUCUGUCAGGGGUAGGGUAGGGCUGUCAGUGUUAGGGUACAGUUGUCAGGGUUAGGUUAAGGCUCUUCAGGGUUAGGGUCAGGGCUGUUUGGGUUAGGGUCAGGGCCGUAGGGUUAGGGUCAGGGCUGUCAGGGUUAGGGUCAGGGCUGUCAGGGUUAUCAGGGUUAGGGUUAAGGUGCUCAGGGUUAGGGUCAGGCCCGUCAGGGUUAGGAUUAGUGCUGUCUGCAUGUGGCUUUCAGGAAUUUCCUGCCUCUUUGUCUCCUGGCACUGGAACCUGGAGAUAUACAAAGCCAGCUCUGCUGCCUCUGAGGUGUGUGGUGAGGUGAGCUCACCUGGGAGAGAUAUUCCCGAGGUGUGGCCCUGGGUUGUCCCCCACCCCGAGAGCAAGAGCCAGUGGGCCACUCACUGCAAAGGCUGGUAUGUCCAGUGCAUGUCCACCUGGACCUGCCAGCGUUCGCUCAGGCUGAGCAAGGCACCCAGGAAGCACCUGCUUGUCGGCCAAGCUAUGUGUGUCACCUUGAUGUCAGCAUUAGCCCUCUUCAUCUCAAGUUGAAAUCCUGCACUCAGAAGCAGAGGUGUGCACUGGCCCUGUUUCCAGUAGGUUGCUCCCACUGCAUGUUGCCUAGCUCUGUCUUGUAUGUUCUGAACAUACUGGGAUGACUCAUUUGGGCUCGGAGGACAGAGCCCUUGAUGGGUGCUAAUGGGCCAGGGGACACUGGAGGAGCCUCCCAGAAGACACAGGUGAGUAACCACUGUGCCAGGGCCCCACGGAGAAGACUGAAAAACCUCUGGAAACAGUCAGUGCAGAAAGGUCCCUGUGAAACAGCCAGCAGGAGACUAAUGAUGCCACUUUACACUAUAGGAGGCUGGGCGUUACAGGUCCAUCUCUGCACUCUGUAGCGUGUCCACAGAGGAAGGUGGUUGACCAGAAGCUGCCUGGCCCACCUCCCCAUGGACGCCUCAUGCCUCUGGGCAGGAGAGGCUAUUUCUGGCUGCAGGACAAGUAGACUGGAUUUCAGGCCUCCAAAAACAUCCGUGCAGACGGCACAUGUCCCCUCACCUCCGUGCCCAUCACCCAACAGUGGCAUGGUGGAGUGGCUCUAUUUUUGGAGAGCAGCUGGGGACAGUAUGAAUUGGUGUGGUCUUGCUAUUUUGGGAGGAAGAUUAAGGCAUUCCUAGCCUUGCUAGUGUCUUUCUUUUUUUUAGUCCUGUUCCACUGGCUUGUGGAAGAGUGUGUAAAACCCCUGAUUUCGGGGUUUGAAGUCCAGCUUGGAAUAAUUGUCUGAGGGACGUUUUGUUUUCCUGUGACAGAGGAUGGGCCAUUGCCCUACUGAUUGCAAAGGACUCCCUGUACCUUCUGGUCCCUCCCAAGCUCUCCCCACCUCUCGGGCCCACUGAGCUGGGGGAGCAGUCUGGCAUUCAGGAAAUUUCAUGGGGUGACCCAAUACCCACAGCUAAGCUCUCCCUUUCCAGCCAGCAAACUACCAGCUCUGCAGCAACUUCAGGCCCCGGUUUGUCUCCUGAGUGGGAAGCACAGGGCUGCUCCUGAUAGCCAGUGAGUCCUGAAAAGUCCUGUCUUUGGGCUUUGAGCCCAUCCUCCUCAGGAGCCCCACCAGAGUUUCAGAUGUGCACAAGACGCAACUUCCCAGUCGGACCCCCAGGGAGUUCGCUCCAGCAGAACCAGAUAGAUGGCUUCCCUGCCUGCCCAGCACAAAAAUAAUGGAAGAGAACUAUGUUCUUUCUUUUUUCUUUAUUUGUUUGUUUAUUUAUUUAAUGAGACAGAGUCUUACUCUGUUACCCUGGGUAGAGUGCCAUAGUGUCACAGCUCACAGCAACCUCAGACUCCUAGGCUCAAGCCAUUCUCCUGCCUCCUGAGUAGCUGUGACUACAGAUACCCACCACAACACCAGGGUAAUUUUUUACUUUUAGUAGAGAUGGGUUGUUGCUCUUGCUCAGGUGGGUCUCAAACUCUUGAGCUCAAGAGAUCCUCCUGCCUCCGUCUCCCAGAGGGCUGGGAUUAUGGGCGUGAGCCACUGUGUUCAGCUCCAUAUACCCAUAUUUUUGUUUCCUCUAUAUUAAAUUGGUGUUUCCUCCAAAGCCAGCCUCCUUGGUUCUCACAGGGAUCGACUUGUUUGGUGGAAGCUCAUGCAUUAGAGCAUUGCUCCUGGGCUCGGCACUAGUAGCUCAGCAGCUGAGAGUGCCAGCCACAUACACCAGAGCUGGAGGGUUCGAAUCCAGCCCAGGCCUGCCAAACAACAAUGACAACUGCAACCAAAAAAUAGCUGGGAGUUGUGGCGGGCACCUGUAGACCCAGCUACUUGGGAGGCUGAGGCAAGAGAAUCACUUAAGCCUAAGUGUUGGAGGUUGCUGUGAGCUGUGAUGCUACGGCACUCUACCGAGGACAACAAAGUGAGACUGUCUCAAAACAAAAGAGGGCGGCGCUUGUGGCUUAAAGGAGUAGGGCACCAGCCCCAUAUGCCGGAGGUGGUGGAUUCAGACCCAGCCCCAGCCAAAAACUGCAAAAAAAGAAAAAGAACAUUGCCUCUGAAUUUUAAGCAGUGUUUUUCAAUCUUUUUUAAUCUCACGGCACAUUUGAACCCAUUAAGACUUCCAUGGCACACUUAAAUUAUGUUGAUCAAGAAAAAAGUUAAAAAAAAGAAUAUAUUUACUAUGCUUUGAACUUUUUUGAAAAUAAUUUAAUUAAUGAUCUUUAAAAUUUUUCAUGGGACACCUAAGAUCCUCUCUCGGCAGACCAGUGUGCUAUGGCACAACAUUUGAAAAUCACUGCCUUAAGGGACAAAAUGAGUCUGUGGCAAGGGAGGACCUCAGGGGACUGAGUCAGGGGGAUAUGGAAGCUGGUAAGAUGUGGCUUCCAGGGGCCUGUGGUCUGUGCUGUGGAGGUGGGCAAUAAUACUGGGUCCUGCUUCUAUGACAUUGCUGUGGACAAGGCACCACGGAGUCCAGGGAGAGAAGGGUACAGGGCAUCCGGAUGGCAGAGACAGUGUGCAGAGGCAUGAACACGGGGAAGGGGUGGGUGUCGUUGUGGCUAGAGCACGUUCCCCCCCCCCCCCAGUUUCUACAUUGAAGUCUGUAUUCCCAAGACUUCAGAAUGUGACUUUAUUUUAAAACUGAGCCUUUACAGGGUAAUCAAAUAAUAAAGAGGUCCUUAGGGUGGAUCCUAAUUCAUUAGGGCUGGUGUCUUGAUAAGAAGGGGAAAAUUGGGUCACAGAGAUUGGCAAGGGGAAGAUGAAGGCAGAGAUGGGGGCAAAGCCCUACAGACCAAGCCCCACCUGCACCCCCAGAAGCUGAGAGAGGGACACAGAGGAGAUUCCCCCCAACUGCCCCCAGAAGAAAGCAACUCUGUGGACACAUGGAUUGUGGACAUAAAUUCUCCAGAACUGUGACUGGGUAGAUUCCUGUUGGGUGAAGUCCCCAGGCUGCAGCAACUUGUCACAGCAGCCCCAGGAGACCCAUAUGAGAGGAGAGGAAGAGGCCAUGUUUGAUCAUUUAGUUUUGCCUGAUUUACUUCAAAGACAUUAUCUUACUCUGUUUGGGAUGCCAGAGCAAAAUACCACAGAUUGAGCAACUUCAACAAGGGAUGGUUACUGCUCACAGUUUUGGAGGCUGAAGUCCAAGACGGCAGAGGCUGUGUAUGCUUGGAAAUAGAAGUUGUGCUAAAUUAGAGCCACGCAGCUUCUCUCCAGUGAUGAGAACAUUUGGAUAAUGCAGGAUUCUGAGUCGCACACCUGGAUUUCUCUGUGCUCUUUCUUUGAGUGAGAGGAAGUGGUUGUGACAAUAAGUCCUCCCAGAGAUAAACGUGGCUUGCUCCAGUGUUCCUGUCAGCACUUGAGGAAGGAGUACCCCAGCGCAGCCCCACUGCCGACUCUUCCCCCCAAAGCAAAAUGCCCCCUGGGCGCAUGGCAGCUGUUUCAUUACUUCUGGAAAUAACAUAGACUUAUUUAAUAAAUAGAAGAAUUUUUUAAUCAAGUCGUAAGACAGGAUGUAUAAACUUUAUUAUUGAUUACACGUUCGUAAACUCUCUCAAUACAGUAAAGUCGCUUCCUUCUCUCAGGUUUCUGUUGGGUAAUUUAAUGUCUAACUCUCACUUUAUAUUGUUUUUCCUUUUUUAUUACUUUAUAUUACAGUACAUCUUUGUAGCCACAAAUUGAAUAGCAUAAUUGCGGGUGGGUUCU
This is a long non-coding RNA of Nycticebus coucang (slow loris), 4641 nucleotides long. RefSeq lists it as uncharacterized. The record is from RefSeq and is a predicted model, not a curated record. The transcript is spliced from 3 exons. NCBI's taxonomy places the organism in Eukaryota, Metazoa, Chordata, Mammalia, Primates, Lorisidae.